RNAcentral lists this ribosomal RNA (123 nucleotides) under Boophis reticulatus. RNAcentral describes it as "partial 16S ribosomal RNA". The record is from RNAcentral. Lineage: Eukaryota; Metazoa; Chordata; Amphibia; Anura; Mantellidae.
UUCUUUAAAUGGGGACUAGAUAUCAACGGCAUCACGAGGGUCCCACUGAUCUCCCCCCUCCAAUCAGUGAAACUGAUCUCCCCNUGAAGAAGCGGGGAUAAGUAUAUUANACGAGAAGACCCC